Molecule: ribosomal RNA, 767 nt
Filed under: uncultured endophytic bacterium
Lineage: Bacteria
Description: bacterial SSU rRNA
Rfam family: Bacterial small subunit ribosomal RNA
Source: RNAcentral
GGAGAGUUUGAUCCUGGCUCAGGACGAACGCUGGCGGUGCGCCUAAUGCAUGCAAGUCGAACGGGCGGAGGGGCUUCGGCCCCCGAGCUAGUGGCAGACGGCUGAGUAACACGUAAGUGAUCUGCCCCGGAGAGGGGGAUAACCCGGAGAAGUCCGGCCUAAUACCCCGUACGCUCUCUUUUCUGCGGUUUAGAGAGGAAAGUUCCGGCGCUCUGGGAGGAGCUUGCGGCCUAUCAUGGUAGUUGGUGGGGUAAAAGCCUACCAAGCCGAAGACGGGUAACCGGUGUGAGAGCACGAUCGGUCAGAGGGGGACUGAGACACGGCCCCCACUCCUACGGGAGGCAGCAGCAGGGAAUCUUGCGCAGUGGGCGAAAGCCUGACGCAGCGACACCGCGUGGGGGAUGAAGGCUUUCGAGUUGUAAACCCCUUUUCCCGGGGAUGAGAAAGGACAGUACCCGGGGAAUAAGGUUCGGCUAACUACGUGCCAGCAGCCGCGGUAAUACGUAGGAACCGAGCGUUGUCCGGAUUUACUGGGCGUAAAGUGCGCGUAGGCGGUCCGUUAAGUCUCAUGUGAAAUCUCCCGGCUCAACUGGGAGGGGUCAUGGGAUACUGGCAGACUUGAGUGCAGCAGAGGGGAGUGGAAUUCCCGGAGUAGUGGUGGAAUGCGUAGAUACCGGGAGGAACACCAGAGGCGAAGGCGACUCCCUGGGCUGUGUCUGACGCUGAGGCGCGAGAGCGUGGGUAGCAAACAGGAUUAGAUACCCUGG